GGUGUAGUUCAGUUGGUUAGAGCGUCAGAUUGUGGUUCUGAAUGUCGUGGGUUCGAGUCCCUCCUC
Molecule: transfer RNA, 66 nt
Filed under: uncultured Prevotella sp.
Lineage: Bacteria; Pseudomonadati; Bacteroidota; Bacteroidia; Bacteroidales; Prevotellaceae
Rfam family: tRNA
About the family: Transfer RNA (tRNA) molecules are approximately 80 nucleotides in length.
Source: RNAcentral